CCUACGGGAGGCUGCAGUGGGGAAUAUUGGACAAUGGGGGCAACCCUGAUCCAGCCAUGCCGCGUGUGUGAAGAAGGCCCUCGGGUUGUAAAGCACUUCCAGUGAGGAAGAACGCCUGGUGGUUAAUACCCAUCAGGAAAGACAUCACUCACAGAAGAAGCACCGGCUAACUCCGUGCCAGCAGCCGCGGUAAUACGGAGGGUGCGAGCGUUAAUCGGAAUUACUGGGCGUAAAGCGCGCGUAGGUGGCUUGAUAAGCCGGUUGUGAAAGCCCCGGGCUCAACCUGGGAACGGCAUCCGGAACUGUCAAGCUAGAGUGCAGGAGAGGAAGGUAGAAUUCCCGGUGUAGCGGUGAAAUGCGUAGAGAUCGGGAGGAAUACCAGUGGCGAAGGCGGCCUUCUGGACUGACACUGACACUGAGGUGCGAAAGCGUGGGUAGCAAACAGGAUUAGAUACCCUAGUAGUC
RNAcentral lists this ribosomal RNA (465 nucleotides) under Vreelandella stevensii. Its description in RNAcentral is "partial 16S ribosomal RNA". It matches the Rfam family "Bacterial small subunit ribosomal RNA", at positions 338 to 795 of the family's 1533-position model. The record is from RNAcentral. Lineage: Bacteria; Pseudomonadati; Pseudomonadota; Gammaproteobacteria; Oceanospirillales; Halomonadaceae.